UGUAGACUAUGUUGACCAACAUCAUUCACGUGUAUGAUUUUCAAACAGGAAACUGGGUCUCUGGAUAUCAAGCUGCUUCAGACGAUUUGAGUUAAAAGGUAUAUUUUGCUUAUAAUCUCAAUUGGCUACAUACAUUGUGAAAUAAUUUUAAAUGAAAUCUUUCUAUUAUUCUCUUUGUAGUCAUAUAGCUGAUGAAAAUUGUGCAUUUCUCUGGAAUUUCUACGUGACAUCCCAAGAUAAUACUUGUGAUGAACAUAACAAUUUGGAGUUGCAAAUGCAAGCAGUUAUCGUCACCAUAAUGUCACUGAAGAGGAAGAAAACACCUAACAUAUUUUAUUAUCUUAACACCAUUGAGCUCUUGUUUAAAAAGAAUAAAAAAUAAUCCUUUAUUUGUAUGAUCCAACCAAAAAAAAAAAGAUGUAGCACACAUACACAUUUUAAUGUGAUUUCCAUACUUAAAUCUUUAACAUGACAUAAAAAUCUUUAGUUUUGGGAUCCAAUGAACUCUAAAAUCAAGCUCCUGGUGUUUUUAAUUA
Long non-coding RNA from Brassica rapa (field mustard), 536 nucleotides. RefSeq lists it as uncharacterized. NCBI's taxonomy places the organism in Eukaryota, Viridiplantae, Streptophyta, Magnoliopsida, Brassicales, Brassicaceae. The record is from RefSeq and is a predicted model, not a curated record.